GACGAACGCUGGCGGCGUGCUUAAUACAUGCAAGUCGAACGGAAAGGCCCUGCUCUUGUGGGGUGCUCGAUUGGCGAACGGGUGAGUAACACGUGAGUAACCUGUCCCUGAAUUUGGGAUAACUUCUGGAAACUGGGGCUAAUACCGGAUAGGAGCUCCUGCAGCAUGGUGGGGGUUGGAAAGUUUCGGCGGUUGGGGAUGGAUUCGAGGCUUAUCAGCUUGUUGGUGGGGUAGUGGCGUACCAAGGCUUUGACGGGUAGCCGGCAUGGGAGGCUGGCCGGCCACAUUAGGACUGAGAUACGGACCAGACUCCUACGGGAGGCAACGGUGGAGAGUAUUGCACAGUGGGCGGAAGCCUGAUGCAGCAACGCCGCGUGCGGGAUGACGGCCUUCGAGUUGUAAACCACUUUCGCCUGUGACAAAGCGUGAGUGACGGUAAUGGGUAAAAAAGCACCGGCUAACUACGUG
Molecule: ribosomal RNA, 468 nt
Filed under: uncultured bacterium
Lineage: Bacteria
Description: partial 16S ribosomal RNA
Rfam family: Bacterial small subunit ribosomal RNA
Source: RNAcentral